CCAUGCUAGCUGGGGAGUUAGCGGUGCCCUGUAACCUGCAAUCCGCUAUAGCAGGAGUGAAUUCCUCACACAGGCUUUAGUUUGUGGGGUCUGCUUCAUAAAAGUGGCGUUGAGAGCUGGGUCCUACGCAACGGAAACUCAUGAACCCCGUCAGGUCCGGAAGGAAGCAGCGGUAAGUGAAUCUUUUCGUGUGCCGUAGGGCAACCUGGUUUGAGCUAACUGUAUGAAUAACGCUCAUAAAUUAUUAGUCAAUGUGAGGUGCAUGG
RNAcentral lists this signal recognition particle RNA (266 nucleotides) under Bacillota bacterium. RNAcentral's name for it is "signal recognition particle sRNA large type". It matches the Rfam family "Bacterial large signal recognition particle RNA". From Rfam's summary of the family: The signal recognition particle (SRP) is a universally conserved ribonucleoprotein involved in the co-translational targeting of proteins to membranes. Archaeal SRP consists of a 7S RNA and homologues of the eukaryotic SRP19 and SRP54 proteins. The record is from RNAcentral. Lineage: Bacteria; Bacillati; Bacillota.